This 254-nucleotide ribosomal RNA is filed under the name uncultured bacterium. RNAcentral describes it as "partial 16S ribosomal RNA". It matches the Rfam family "Bacterial small subunit ribosomal RNA", at positions 524 to 776 of the family's 1533-position model. The record is from RNAcentral.
UACGGGGGGAGCAAGCGUUGUUCGGAUUUACUGGGCGUAAAGGGCGCGUAGGCGGUCAGCACAAGUCAGUUGUGAAAUCUCCGGGCUUAACUCGGAAAGGUCAACUGAUACUGUGCGACUAGAGUGCAGAAGGGGCAACUGGAAUUCUCGGUGUAGCGGUGAAAUGCGUAGAUAUCGAGAGGAACACCUGCGGCGAAGGCGGGUGGCUGGGCUGACACUGACGCUGAUGCGCGAAAGCCAGGGGAGCGAACGGG